UAAACGACUCUCGGCAACGGAUAUCUCGGCUCUUGCAUCGAUGAAGAACGUAGCGAAAUGCGAUACUUGGUGUGAAUUGCAGAAUCCCGUGAACCAUCGAGUCUUUGAACGCAAGUUGCGCCUGAAGCCAUUAGGCUGAAGGCACGGCUGCCUGGGCGUCACGC
This 164-nucleotide ribosomal RNA is filed under the name Pentachondra pumila. Its description in RNAcentral is "5.8S ribosomal RNA". It matches the Rfam family "5.8S ribosomal RNA". From Rfam's summary of the family: 5.8S ribosomal RNA (5.8S rRNA) is a component of the large subunit of the eukaryotic ribosome. It is transcribed by RNA polymerase I as part of the 45S precursor that also contains 18S and 28S rRNA. Lineage: Eukaryota; Viridiplantae; Streptophyta; Magnoliopsida; Ericales; Ericaceae. The record is from RNAcentral.